UAAUUAAUAUCUAGAAGAAGUUUAUUAUAUUUGAAAAGGAUUUUGAAAGUUAGAUUUUUAUUUCAUUCUAUGUAAAUUCCCAAGAUGGAAUAAUUUUGGGGAAUAACCAAAUAUAAAUUAAACAUUACGCCAAGCACGGUGGCUUAUGCCUGUAAUCCCAGCACUUUGGUAGGCUGAGGCGUGCUGAUCGCCUGAAGUCAGGAGUUCGAGACCAGCCUGACCACCAUGGAGAAACCCCGUCUUUACUAAAAAUACAAAAUCAGCUGGGCAUUACCAGGGCUUUUAGAAUGCUUUUUCUCAUUUGCUGUGGACACGACCAUAAAAAAAUUUCCCAGUAGGUUUUCUAUCUACUACCUUUCCAGCAAUCAGCCUAUUGGGAAUAUUUGAUUAACUGUAAUAGAAAUGCAAUACAAAUAUAAUGUGAGCCACAUGUGAAUUUUCUUUUUUUUUUUUGAGACGGAGUUUUGCUCUUGUUACCCAGGCUGGAGUGCAAUGGCGCGAACUCGGCUCACCGCAACCUCCGCUUCCUGGGUUCAGGCAAUUCUCCUGCCUCAGCCUCCUGAGUAGCUGGGAUUACAGGCAUGCACCACCACGCCCAGCUAAUUUUUUGUAUUUUUAGUAGAGACGGGGUUUCACCAUGUUGACCAGGAUGGUCUCGAUCUCUUGACCUCGUGAUCCACCCGCCUCGGCCUCCCAAACUGCUGGGAUUACAGGCGUAAGCCACCGCGCCCGGCCCAAAUUUUCUUUUUUUUCUAAUAGCUGUUUCAUCGGUAAUCAAUGAGAUUUUAAAAUUGUCUUUUGGGCAGUGUAGCCUAGAUCUCUUGAAUCAUGCAAAUGUGCUUUGCAUUUGUCUUGUAACCCUUGUGCAUUAUAACCCUUGGGGGCUGCAGUUUGUGUGUAGCCGUUAACUCAGGCUGGUUCAUUCAUGUUCACUCACUGUACAAUCAUCUCUGGAAAUGUAAAUUUUACUUUUAUAUUUUUGUUAUGUAGGGCUGACAGGACAAGUAGAUUAAAAUAAGCAUCAGUUUCAUUAAAAAGGGCUAACCUGAAGAUAAAUCUUUUCACUCCAACUCUUAUUUUUUUUACUUUUUUUUAAAAAAACCUUUCUGCAAGUCUGACACUCCAACUCUUUAGAGGAUCGAAAGUGACUUUGAUGGGCAGUAGAAGGAAUUACAACAUGGAAUUCCUUGAAUAAAAAUUGAUUGACUUAAAAAAAAAAAAAAAAGCCUGGCGUGGUGGCUCACACCUGUAAUCCUAGCACUUUGGAAGGCCUAGGUGGGUGGAUCACCUGAGGUCAGGAGUUCAAGACCAGCCUGGCCAUCAUGGUGAAACCCCAUCUUUUAAAAUUAAAAAAAAAAAAAUGUGUAUUGACUUUAAAAAAAAAAAUGGCACAGCAGCUGUGAAUCCAACGGCUACAGAUCUCACGUUUGCAGGGCAGCCUGAAUCCGUCAGCCCCCGAAGACCUCAGCAGCCAUGUCGAGGCCCCAUAGUGAAGUCGGGACUGCCUUCAUUCAGACCCAGCAGCUACAUGCAGCCAUGGCUGAUACAUUCCUGCAACACAUGUGCCGCCUGGACAUUGACUCACCACCCAUCACAGCCUGGAGCACUGGCAUCAUCUGUAUCAUUGGCUCAGCUUCCGAUCAGUGGAGACAUUGAAGGAGAUGAUUAAGUUUAGAAUGAAUGUGGCUCAUCUCAACUUCUCACAUGGAACUCAUGAGUACCACGUGGAGACCAUCAAGAACGUGCGCGCAGCCAUGGAAAGCUUUGCUUCUGACCCCAUCCUCUACCAGCCUGUUGCUGUGGCUCUGGACCCUAAAGGACCUGAGAUCUGAACUGGCCUCAUCAAGGGCAGCGGCACCGCAGAGGUAGAGCUGAAGAAGGGAGCCACUCUCAAAAUCACGCUGGAUAACACCUACGUGGAAAAGUGUGAUGAGAACAUCCCAUGGCUGGACCACAAGAACAUCUGCAAGGUGGUAGAAGUGGGCCGCAAGAUCUACGUGGAUGAUGGGCUUACUUCCCUCCAGGUGAAGCAGAAAGGUGCUGACUUCCUGGUGACAGAGGUGGAAAAUGGUGGCUCCCUGGGCAGCAAGAAGGGUGUGAACUUUCCUGGGGCUGCUGUGGACUUGCCUGCUGUGUCAGAGAAGGACAUCCAGGACCUGAAGUUUGGGGUUGAGCAGGAUGUCAAUAUGGUGUUUGCGUCAUUCAUCCACGAGGUAGCUGAUGUCCAUGAAGUGAGGAAGGUCCUGGGAGAGAAGGGGAAGAACAUCAAGAUAAUCAGCAAAAUCGAGAAUCAUGAGGGGGUUUGGAGGUUUGAUGAAAUCUUGGAGGCCAAUGAUGGGAUCAUGGUGGCUCGUGGUGAUCUAGGCAUUGAAAUUCCUGCAGAGAAGGUCUUCCUUGCUCAGAAGAUGAUGAUUGGGCGGUGCAACCGAGCUGGAAAGCCUAUCAUCUGUGCCACUCAGAUGCUGGAGAGCGUGACCAAGAAGCCCCGCCCCACCCAGGCUGAGGGCAGUGAUGUGGCCAGUGCAGUCCUGGAUGGAGCUGAUUGUAUCAUGCUGUCUGGAGUGACAGCAAAAGGGGACUAUCCUCUGGAGGCCGUGCGCAUGCAGCACCUGAUUGCCCGUGAGGCAGAGGCCACCAUCUACCACUUGCAAUUAUUUGAGGAACUCUGCCGCCUGGCGCCCAUUACCAAUGAACCCACAGAAGCCACCACUGUAGAUGCCGUGGAGGCCUCCUUCAAGUGCUGCAGUGGGGCCAUAAUCGUCCUCACCAAGUCUGGCAGGUCUGCUCACCAGGUGGCCAGAUACCACCCAUGUGCCCCCAUCAUUGCUGUGACACGGAAUCCCCAGACAGCUCGUCAGGCCCACUUGUACCAUAGCAUCUUCCCUGGGCUGUGUAAGGACCCUGUCCAGGAGGCCUGGGCUGAGGAUGUGGACCUCCAGGUGAACUUGGCCAUGAAUGUCGCCAAGGCCCAAGUGACAGCAAAAGGUGACUAUCCUCUGGAGGCUGUGUGCAUGCAGCACCUGAUUGCCCGUGAGGCAGAGGCCACCAUCUACCACUUGCAAAGGCUUCUUCAAGAAGGGAGAUGUGGUCAUUGUGCUGACUGGGUGGUGCCCUGGCUCCGGCUUCACCAACAGCACCAUGAAUGCUGUUCCUGUGCUGUGAUGGACCCCAGAGUCCCUCCUCCGGUCCCUGUCCCACCCCCUUCCCCCAACCCAUCUAUUAGGCCAGCAAUGCUUGUAGAGCUCACUCUGGGUUGUAAUGUGGCAUUGGUGGGCUGGGACACCAGAGAAGAAGAUAAACGCCUCGAUGAAACAUGGCUGUGUUUACAGCCUGCUCUGGUAGGACAGCUCAGAGCCUGGCUGCCCAUCAUGUGGCCCCACCCAGUCAAGGGAAGAAGGAGGAAUGCCAGACUGGAGGCCCCAGGAGCCAGAUAGCAAGAGGGUGACAGCUUCCUUUCCUGUGUGCACUCUGUUCAGUUCCUUUAGAAAAUGGAUGCCCAGAGGACUCCCAGCCCUGGUCUGGGGGCAGGAAAUGGCCAGCGAGAGUUAGGGGCCUUAGCACACAGGGCACUUGUUCCAUUUAAGCUGACUCUGGCCCUGGCCCUUACUUGAUUCCCCAACCCCCUGGGCCUCCCCAGUUUGCACCUGUCCCCGCCCUCUACUCAGCUGUCCUGCAGCAAACACUCCACCUUCCAUUUUCCCCCACUACAGCAGUGCCUCCAGGCCUGUUGCUAUAGAGCCUACCUGUAUGUCAAUAAACAACAGCUGAAGCA
Callithrix jacchus (white-tufted-ear marmoset) is the source of this 3772-nucleotide non-coding RNA. The record is from RefSeq and is a predicted model, not a curated record. NCBI's taxonomy places the organism in Eukaryota, Metazoa, Chordata, Mammalia, Primates, Cebidae.